GUGAACGCUGGCGGUAGGCCUAACACAUGCAAGUCGGACGGCAGCACCGUAAGAGCUUGCUCUUACGGGUGGCGAGUGGCGGACGGGUGAGGAAUACAUCGGAAUCUACUUUUUCGUGGGGGAUAACGUAGGGAAACUUACGCUAAUACCGCAUACGACCUACGGGUGAAAGCAGGGGAUCUUCGGACCUUGCGCGAUUGAAUGAGCCGAUGUCGGAUUAGCUAGUUGGCGGGGUAAAGGCCCACCAAGGCGACGAUCCGUAGCUGGUCUGAGAGGAUGAUCAGCCACACUGGAACUGAGACACGGUCCAGACUCCUACGGGAGGCAGCAGUGGGGAAUAUUGGACAAUGGGCGCAAGCCUGAUCCAGCCAUACCGCGUGGGUGAAGAAGGCCUUCGGGUUGUAAAGCCCUUUUGUUGGGAAAGAAAAGCAGCAGGUUAAUACCCCGCUGUUCUGACGGUACCCAAAGAAUAAGCACCGGCUAACUUCGUG
This 491-nucleotide ribosomal RNA is filed under the name uncultured bacterium. Its description in RNAcentral is "partial 16S ribosomal RNA". It matches the Rfam family "Bacterial small subunit ribosomal RNA", at positions 29 to 507 of the family's 1533-position model. The record is from RNAcentral.